Molecule: ribosomal RNA, 693 nt
Filed under: Burkholderia gladioli
Lineage: Bacteria; Pseudomonadati; Pseudomonadota; Betaproteobacteria; Burkholderiales; Burkholderiaceae
Description: bacterial SSU rRNA
Rfam family: Bacterial small subunit ribosomal RNA
Source: RNAcentral
UCGAGCGGAUGAAGGGAGCUUGCUCCUGGAUUCAGCGGCGGACGGGUGAGUAAUGCCUAGGAAUCUGCCUGGUAGUGGGGGAUAACGUCCGGAAACGGGCGCUAAUACCGCAUACGUCCUGAGGGAGAAAGUGGGGGAUCUUCGGACCUCACGCUAUCAGAUGAGCCUAGGUCGGAUUAGCUAGUUGGUGGGGUAAAGGCCUACCAAGGCGACGAUCCGUAACUGGUCUGAGAGGAUGAUCAGUCACACGGAACUGAGACACGGUCCAGACUCCUACGGGAGGCAGCAGUGGGGAAUAUUGGACAAUGGGCGAAAGCCUGAUCCAGCCAUGCCGCGUGUGUGAAGAAGGUCUUCGGAUUGUAAAGCACUUUAAGUUGGGAGGAAGGGCAGUAAGUUAAUACCUUGCUGUUUUGACGUUCCAACAGAAUAAGCACCGGCUAACUUCGUGCCAGCAGCCGCGGUAAUACGAAGGGUGCAAGCGUUAAUCGGAAUUACUGGGCGUAAAGCGCGCGUAGGUGGUUCAGCAAGUUGGAUGUGAAAUCCCCGGGCUCAACCUGGGAACUGCAUCCAAAACUACUGAGCUAGAGUACGGUAGAGGGUGGUGGAAUUUCCUGUGUAGCGGUGAAAUGCGUAGAUAUAGGAAGGAACACCAGUGGCGAAGGCGANCACCUGGACUGAUACUGACACUGANGU